GCGAGCUGGCAGAAACGUUAGCACGCCGGGCGAAAUGCUUAGCGGUAUUUUGUCUGUCUUUACGUUCUGAGUUCAAAUUCCGCCGGGGACAAUUUUGCUUUUCCUCCUUUCGGAUGAUAAAUUAAGGACCAUUUGCAUACUGGGUCGAUAUUAUCCACUGGCCCCUCCCUCCAAAUUUCGGGCCUUGUGCCUAGAUUAUAAA
This is a long non-coding RNA of Octopus sinensis (East Asian common octopus), 202 nucleotides long. RefSeq lists it as uncharacterized. Lineage: Eukaryota; Metazoa; Mollusca; Cephalopoda; Octopoda; Octopodidae. The transcript is spliced from 2 exons. The record is from RefSeq and is a predicted model, not a curated record.